AUGGCCGGUGACCCGUCUUCUCCUCUGCCUCCAUUGUUCCUCCUCCGCUGCUCUCCAUGCCCUAGGCGGCGCUCCCAUUCAUGGCCGACGAGCAGAAGCUUCAGCCUCCGUCGCGCCCCGAGGUACUCCGUCGCCGCGCGCCCAGCCGGCUCCCUUUUCCUCUUUGUUCUCCGCUGCAGGUCACCGGCCAUCCGUGCUGCAACCCAAUCUCUUCUCAAUCCCGCCCCUGUCAAAUCUUUAAAUCUCCUCUUAUUUCAACUUUUCAUAUCCAGGACCGUAGUGAUGAUCUCAGUUUUUAAAUAUAGAUGGUUGAUGCAUCAUAUGAGGAGGUGUAGUACGCAUGAUGUUUUCAAGAAAGGAGGCCCCGGUUGGUACUUGAGGCCGUCAAGUUGA
Molecule: ribosomal RNA, 393 nt
Filed under: Triticum aestivum (bread wheat)
Lineage: Eukaryota; Viridiplantae; Streptophyta; Magnoliopsida; Poales; Poaceae
Description: partial small subunit ribosomal RNA
Source: RNAcentral